UGCCUGUGAUGUUAGAAAAUAUUUGCUACUCUUGAUAGGGGGAAACACCCUAUUUGAUGAAUUAUUAACCACCAAGAUCUCUGAGGCC
Molecule: small nucleolar RNA, 88 nt
Organism: Arachis stenosperma
Lineage: Eukaryota; Viridiplantae; Streptophyta; Magnoliopsida; Fabales; Fabaceae
Product: small nucleolar RNA SNORD24
Exons: 1
Source: RefSeq, a predicted model, not a curated record